Molecule: ribosomal RNA, 253 nt
Filed under: uncultured bacterium
Lineage: Bacteria
Description: partial 16S ribosomal RNA
Rfam family: Bacterial small subunit ribosomal RNA
Source: RNAcentral
UACGAGGGGUGCAAGCGUUGUUCGGAAUUAUUGGGCGUAAAGGGCAGGUAGGUGGUCUUGAAAGUCUGCUGUGAAAUCCCCGGGCUUAACCUGGGAAGUGCGGCAGAUACUCCAAGACUAGAGUACUGGAGGGGUUCGUGGAAUUCCCGGUGUAGCGGUGAAAUGCGUAGAUAUCUGGAGGAACACCGGUGGCGAAGGCGGCGUUCUGGACUGCAACUGACACUGAGGAACGAAAGCCAGGGGAGCAAACGGG